UACGUAGGGGGCAAGCGUUAUCCGGAUUUACUGGGUGUAAAGGGAGCGUAGACGGCUUUGCAAGUCUGACGUGAAACUCCGGGGCUCAACUCCGGAACUGCGUUGGAAACUGUAAGGCUUGAGUGCCGGAGAGGUAAGCGGAAUUCCUAGUGUAGCGGUGAAAUGCGUAGAUAUUAGGAGGAACACCAGUGGCGAAGGCGGCUUACUGGACGGCAACUGACGUUGAGGCUCGAAAGCGUGGGGAGCAAACAGG
This 253-nucleotide ribosomal RNA is filed under the name uncultured organism. RNAcentral describes it as "partial 16S ribosomal RNA". It matches the Rfam family "Bacterial small subunit ribosomal RNA", at positions 524 to 776 of the family's 1533-position model. RNAcentral also lists the same sequence under 1 other name. The record is from RNAcentral.